AUUGAACGCUAGCGGGAUGCCUUACACAUGCAAGUCGAACGGCAGCACAGACUUCGGUCUGGUGGCGAGUGGCGAACGGGUGAGUAAAGUAUCGGAACGUGCCCAGUAGAGGGGGAUAACUACGCGAAAGCGUAGCUAAUACCGCAUACGCCCUGAGGGGGAAAGCGGGGGAUCGCAAGACCUCGCGUUAUUGGAGCGGCCGAUAUCGGAUUAGCUAGUUGGUAGGGUAAAGGCCUACCAAGGCGACGAUCCGUAGCUGGUUUGAGAGGACGACCAGCCACACUGGGACUGAGACACGGCCCAGACUCCUACGGGAGGCAGCAGUGGGGAAUUUUGGACAAUGGGGGCAACCCUGAUCCAGCCAUUUCGCGUGUGCGAUGAAGGCCUUCGGGUUGUAAAGCACUUUUGGCAGGGAAGAAAAGGUUUGGGCUAAUACCCUGAGCCGCUGACGGUACCUGCAGAAUAAGCACCGGCUAACUACGUGCCAGCAGCCGCGGUAA
This 500-nucleotide ribosomal RNA is filed under the name uncultured bacterium. RNAcentral describes it as "partial 16S ribosomal RNA". It matches the Rfam family "Bacterial small subunit ribosomal RNA", at positions 30 to 523 of the family's 1533-position model. The record is from RNAcentral.